GGGGAAUUUUCCGCAAUGGGCGCAAGCCUGACGAAGCAACGCCGCGUGCAGGAUGACGGCCUCCUGGUUGUAAACUGCUUUUGUAAGUGAGGAAUAUGACAGUAGCUUACGAAUAAGGAUUGGCUAACUACGUACCAGCAGCAGCGGUCACACGUAGGAUCCAAGCGUUAUCCGGAUUUAUUGGGCGUAAAGAGUUGCGUAGGCGGUUAUUUAAGCAAUCUAUGAAAGCGUAUGGCUUAACCAUACAAGUGUAGUUUGAACUGAAUAACUAGAGUCUAGGAGAGGUCGCUGGAAUUUCUAGUGGAGGAGUGAAAUCCGCAGAUAUUAGAAGGAACACCGAAGGCGUAGGCAGGCGACUGGCCUAUGACUGACGCUGAGGCACGAAAGCGUGGGGAGCGAACGGGAUUAGAUACCCCGGUAGUCCACGCCGUAAACGAUGGAUACUAGCUGUAUGAGGAUUCAACCCCUUGUGUAGCGCCGCUAACGCUUUAAGUAUCCCGCCUGUGGAGUACGAGCGCAAGCUUAAAACAUAAAGGAGUUGACGGGGACCUGCACAAGCGGUGGAGCGUGUUGUUUAAUUCGAAAGUAAGCGAAGAACCUUACCAGGGCUUGACAUCCCACUAAGUUUCAGGAAACUGAAAUGUGUCUUCGGACCGUGGUGACAGGUGCUGCAUGGCCGUCGUCAGCUCGUGUCGUGAGAUGUUGGGUUAAGUCCCGCAACGAGCGCAACCCUUAUGUUUAGUUAUAUUUCUCUAAAGAGACUGCCUUGGUAACAAGGAGGAAGGAGGGGAUGAUGUCAGGUCAGUAUUGCCCUUACGUCCUGGGCUACAAACACGCUACAAUGGCCGGUACAAAGAGUUGCCAACCUGCGAAGGGGAGCAAAUCUCAUCAAAGCCGGUCUCAGUUCGGAUUGCAGGCUGAAACUCGCCUGCAUGAAGUCGGAAUCGCUAGUAACGGUGAGUCAGCAUAUCACCGUGAAUAAGUUCCCAGGUCUUGUACACACCGCCCGU
Molecule: ribosomal RNA, 1010 nt
Filed under: uncultured marine bacterium
Lineage: Bacteria
Description: bacterial SSU rRNA
Rfam family: Bacterial small subunit ribosomal RNA
Source: RNAcentral